This 217-nucleotide ribosomal RNA is filed under the name uncultured bacterium. RNAcentral describes it as "partial 16S ribosomal RNA". It matches the Rfam family "Bacterial small subunit ribosomal RNA", at positions 132 to 334 of the family's 1533-position model. The record is from RNAcentral.
CCGGAUGGGGAAUAACAGCCGGAAACGGCUGCUAAUACCGCAUAAUGCAGCGGCUCGACAUCGAGACAGUUGUUAAAGCGGGGGAUCGCAAGACCUCGCGCCUGAAGAGAAGCCUGCGGCAGAUUAGCUAGUUGGUAGGGUAAUGGCCUACCAAGGCGACGAUCUGUAACCGGCCUGAGAGGGCGGUCGGUCACACUGACACUGACAUACGGGUCAG